AUCUUAUAGAUUGAGUAUACGAAGCAAGAUACAAAUUACUCCAUUUAUAUAAAUGUAAAAAAAAAAACAAAACAAAACCUAGGCAGCAUAGCCAAACCCUGUCUGCACAAAAAUGUAAAAUAAAAUUAGCCAGGUAUGGUGGAGGAUGAGUCCUAGCUACUUAGGAGGCUGAGGUGUGUGGAUCACUUGAGCCAGGAGUUCAAGGCUGCAGUGAGUCAUGACAGGACAGAGGGAGACCUGUCUACUGUCUGUCCCUAUAGAAAAAGAAAAAAUCUCCUGGUGUCUUUUCCUGAAUUUGGCAGACAGGAUGGCCAGAGGAAAUGCAUCAAUGCAGAGGGACAGAAACAGCAGUGUGGCCUGGGAAAGGUCAGGCUUUGACACAAGGAAUUUAGAGAAGAAAAAAGGUGUGGUCUGCUGUUUCAUUCAGUCCAUUAUCUGUUGAGCAUUCCUUUUUUUAUUCAAAUAGAGCAGAAGAAAGGAGCUUGAAAUGGACAGUUAUCUCUGGUUUAUCUGGCUGUAGAGUGCAGAGAUGAUUCUCUUUCAGGAUGGGAGAGGGGGUGGGGAGG
This 566-nucleotide long non-coding RNA is filed under the name Homo sapiens (human). RNAcentral's name for it is "novel transcript". The record is from RNAcentral. Lineage: Eukaryota; Metazoa; Chordata; Mammalia; Primates; Hominidae.